Molecule: ribosomal RNA, 477 nt
Filed under: uncultured bacterium
Lineage: Bacteria
Description: partial 16S ribosomal RNA
Rfam family: Bacterial small subunit ribosomal RNA
Source: RNAcentral
AUUGAACGCUGGCGGCAUGCCUUACACAUGCAAGUCGAACGGUAACAGGUUAAGCUGUCGAGUGGCGAACGGGUGAGUAAUGUAUCGGAACGUGCCCAGUCGUGGGGUAUAACUGCUCGAAAGAGCAGCUAAUACCGCAUACGACCUGAGGGUGAACGCGGGGGAUCGCAAGACCUCGCGCGAUUGGAGCGGCCGAUAUCAGAUUAGGUAGUUGGUGAGGUAAAGGCUCACCAAGCCGACGAUCUGUAGCUGGUCUGAGAGGACGACCAGCCACACUGGGACUGAGACACGGCCCAGACUCCUACGGGAGGCAGCAGUGGGGAAUUUUGGACAAUGGGCGCAAGCCUGAUCCAGCCAUGCCGCGUGCGGGAAGAAGGCCUUCGGGUUGUAAACCGCUUUUGUCAGGGAAGAAAAGGUUCUGGCUAAUACCUGGGACUCAUGACGGUACCUGAAGAAUAAGCACCGGCUAACUACGUG